CCUACGGGCGGCUGCAGUGGGGAAUAUUGGACAAUGGGCGAAAGCCUGAUCCAGCCAUGCCGCGUGUGUGAAGAAGGCCUUCGGGUUGUAAAGCACUUUCAGUGGGGAAGAAAGCCUUGGGGCUAAUACCCUCGAGGAAGGACAUCACCCACAGAAGAAGCACCGGCUAACUCCGUGCCAGCAGCCGCGGUAAUACGGAGGGUGCGGGCGUUAAUCGGAAUUACUGGGCGUAAAGCGCGCGUAGGCGGUCUGAUAAGCCGGUUGUGAAAGCCCCGGGCUCAACCUGGGAACGGCAUCCGGAACUGUCAGGCUAGAGUGCAGGAGAGGAAGGUAGAAUUCCCGGUGUAGCGGUGAAAUGCGUAGAGAUCGGGAGGAAUACCAGUGGCGAAGGCGGCCUUCUGGACUGACACUGACGCUGAGGUGCGAAAGCGUGGGUAGCAAACAGGAUUAGAUACCCCUGUAGUC
Molecule: ribosomal RNA, 465 nt
Filed under: Vreelandella stevensii
Lineage: Bacteria; Pseudomonadati; Pseudomonadota; Gammaproteobacteria; Oceanospirillales; Halomonadaceae
Description: partial 16S ribosomal RNA
Rfam family: Bacterial small subunit ribosomal RNA
Source: RNAcentral